CCACUGUGUCUUUGAGCACGUGUCUAUGUUGUGUCAGAUAUAAACUAGAUCAGUGGCAAGAGCCACUCAGUCUAGGGUUCCUGGCAGAGAACUGGAGGAGAUGGUCGCUACACUUCCAGUGUUCUUGGCAGGAAGUGACAUUGCCGGAAAACUGAACUGCAGAACAGCAAUUUAAGCAAUGGACAGUAAAGUUGUCAAGAGCAGCAAUUCCAGUCAAUACAUGCACGAUGUUGAUCAAAGGAAUUUAUCUGGAACAGGAGGAGGUAUUAUAUAAAUAGUAUUGAAUACAGUCUAAAUUGCUGGUUGGAAUUGGAGACUGAUCUAUAAAUAGACUUGUAGAGCAUCCAUCGGUAGCGCAGGUCCUCCAGGUCUUCAGAGUUCCCGACAACUGGAUGAAGAUGAAGAAGAUCUUCAAAAAGAUGCUGACCUUCAGGAACACGAGACUGAAGCUCCUGCAGGGAAAGAAAAGUUAAUCAACAACCCUGCAUUCAAAUGAAUCAUUGCCUUACUCAUCUCAGAGACUUAUUCAUGUAGAAGCACACUAGCAUUAAAUUAAUCUGUUAUGAACACUGGG
Long non-coding RNA from Alligator mississippiensis (American alligator), 574 nucleotides. RefSeq lists it as uncharacterized. Lineage: Eukaryota; Metazoa; Chordata; Crocodylia; Alligatoridae. The record is from RefSeq and is a predicted model, not a curated record. The transcript is spliced from 4 exons.